This 467-nucleotide ribosomal RNA is filed under the name uncultured bacterium. Its description in RNAcentral is "bacterial SSU rRNA". It matches the Rfam family "Bacterial small subunit ribosomal RNA", at positions 355 to 825 of the family's 1533-position model. The record is from RNAcentral.
UGAGGAAUAUUGGGCAAUGCCCGAAAGGGUGACCCAGCAACGCCGCGUGGAGGAUGAAUGCCGUAAGGUUGUAAACUCCUGUUAGAGGGGAAGAAAAAUCUCGAUCAAAUCGGGAACUGACUGUACCCUCAGAGAAAGCCCCGGCUAACUACGUGCCAGCAGCCGCGGUAAUACGUAGGGGGCAAGCGUUGUCCGGAUUCACUGGGUGUAAAGGGCGCGCAGGCGGGUUAGCAAGUCAGAGGUGAAAUCCUACAGCUUAACUGUAGAACUGCCUUUGAGACUGCUAAUCUUGAGUACGGAAGAGAGAGAUGGAAUUCCAGGUGUAGUGGUGAAAUACGUAGAUAUCUGGAAGAACACCAGUGGCGAAGGCGGUCUCUUGGUCCUAUACUGACGCUAAGGCGCGAAAGCCAGGGGAGCAAACGGGAUUAGAUACCCUCGUAGUCCCUGAGCGGGCUGGCAAGGCGCAU